Castor canadensis (American beaver) is the source of this 631-nucleotide long non-coding RNA. RefSeq lists it as uncharacterized. Lineage: Eukaryota; Metazoa; Chordata; Mammalia; Rodentia; Castoridae. The record is from RefSeq and is a predicted model, not a curated record.
GCCUGCCCUGCACUUUCUGAGCUGGCAGUCGCCAGUUUGAACGUGUGAGGCUGGGGAAAGAGGAGACACCAGUGGUCUAGACACCAGCAGAUUGCAGCCAGAUGACACCGGAGACAAGCCCAGAGCCAGGGCCUGGCCCUUCACCCAGCAUGCAUUUGUCUUAAUCCGACCCCCCACAAGCUCUCUGGGAACACUGAUGCAUCCCCACCAGAAGAAGUCUCUGUUUCUCUCGCUCGAUCCUGCGUGGGCCUCUGUGCAUGUCUCAGCUAAACGAGCUGGCAGAGUGGGGCUCCAUGGCUUCUGAGGCUGGGUCACACAGAGCAGUAUACCUGCCACCUGGUUCUCUCUUUGGAUGCUUGUUUUUGGAACCCCACAUGGAAGCCCAGGCCUUGUGCAGAGGCUCACGUGGAAAGGAGACUAAUAGAGAUCCGGAAGAAUAAUUCUGGGUGUCAGUUCACUGUGCUUGCUGGCCUGGAACUCAGAAGGCAGUCAGGAUGAAGUACAGCUGCCUCCACCCCUUCCCAGCUCCACUAAUAAUGUUAACAAUAUUCUUUGCUUAUGUCUAAAAAAAUAAAAAGAGGAAUAGAUCCACAAUGAAAACUUUUGCUAAUAUCAGUAAUAUUAAUAAAAA